This 72-nucleotide transfer RNA is filed under the name Ovis aries (sheep). It matches the Rfam family "tRNA". Rfam says of the family: Transfer RNA (tRNA) molecules are approximately 80 nucleotides in length. Their secondary structure includes four short double-helical elements and three loops (D, anti-codon, and T loops). The record is from Rfam by way of RNAcentral. Lineage: Eukaryota; Metazoa; Chordata; Mammalia; Artiodactyla; Bovidae.
UCCCUUGUGGCUCAGAUGGUAAAGAAUCUGCCUGCGAUGCAGGAUACUCAGGUUCAAUCCCUGGGUUGGGAA